RNAcentral lists this unclassified non-coding RNA (768 nucleotides) under uncultured Bordetella sp. RNAcentral describes it as "partial 16S-23S ribosomal RNA intergenic spacer". It matches the Rfam family "Bacterial small subunit ribosomal RNA", at positions 10 to 763 of the family's 1533-position model. Lineage: Bacteria; Pseudomonadati; Pseudomonadota; Betaproteobacteria; Burkholderiales; Alcaligenaceae. The record is from RNAcentral.
AGUUCGAUUGCAUAGGCUCAGAUUGAACGCUGGCAGGAUGCUACACAUACAAAGUCCAGGAACAGCGGCACGGACUUCGGUCUGGUGGCGAGUGGCGAACGGGUGAAGUAAUGUAUCGGAACGUCACCUAAUGUGGGGGAUAACUACGCGAAAGCGUAGCUAAUACCACAUACCGCCCUUCGAGAAAGCGGGGACCUUCGGGCCUCGCACUAUUAGAGCGGCCGAUAUCGGAUUGGCUGGUUGGUGGGGUAACGGCUCACCAAGGCGACGAUCCGUAGCUGGUUUGAGGAGGACGACCAGCCACACUGGGACAGAGACACGGCCCAGACUCCACCACGGGGAGGGCAGCAGUGGGGAAUUUUUGGACAAUGGGGGAAGCCUGGUCCAACCAUCCCGCGUGUGCGAUGAAGGCCUUCGGGUUGUAAAGCACUGGCAGAAAGAAACGGCACGGGGAUAAUACCCCGUGCAACUGACGGUACCUGCAGAAUGCUUUGGCUAACUACGUACCCAGCAGCCAUGAUAACCGUAGGGGUGCAAGCGUUAAUCAGAUUACUGGGCGUAAAGCAUUGCGCAGGCGGUUCGGAAAAGAAAGAUGUGAAAUCCCAGGCUUAACUUUGGAACUGCAUUUUUAACUAUGGCGAGCUAGAGAGUGUGUCAGAGGGAGGUGGAAUUCCCGCGUGUAGCAGUGAAAUGCGUAGAUGUGCGGAGGAACACCGAUGGCGAAGGCAGCCUCCUGGGAUAACACUGACGCUCAUGCACGAAAGCGUG